UCGAGCGCUCUCUUCGGAGGGAGCGGCGGACGGGUGAGUAACGCGUGGGAACGUGCCCUUCUCUAUGGAAUAGCCACUGGAAACGGUGAGUAAUACCAUAUACGCCCUUCGGGGGAAAGAUUUAUCGGAGAAGGAUCGGCCCGCGUUAGAUUAGGUAGUUGGUGGGGUAAUGGCCUACCAAGCCUACGAUCUAUAGCUGGUUUUAGAGGAUGAUCAGCCACACUGGGACUGAGACACGGCCCAGACUCCUACGGGAGGCAGCAGUGGGGAAUCUUAGACAAUGGGCGCAAGCCUGAUCUAGCCAUGCCGCGUGAGUGAUGAAGGCCUUAGGGUCGUAAAGCUCUUUCGCCAGAGAUGAUAAUGACAGUAUCUGGUAAAGAAACCCCGGCUAACUCCGUGCCAGCAGCCGCGGUAAU
Molecule: ribosomal RNA, 416 nt
Filed under: uncultured Gammaproteobacteria bacterium
Lineage: Bacteria; Pseudomonadati; Pseudomonadota; Gammaproteobacteria
Also listed under: 1 other name
Description: bacterial SSU rRNA
Rfam family: Bacterial small subunit ribosomal RNA
Source: RNAcentral